GGGGAUGUAGCUCAGUCGGUAGAGUGUUUGCCUUGCAUGCACAGGGCUCUGGGUUCAAUCCCCAGCUGCACCA
Molecule: transfer RNA, 73 nt
Filed under: Ictidomys tridecemlineatus (thirteen-lined ground squirrel)
Lineage: Eukaryota; Metazoa; Chordata; Mammalia; Rodentia; Sciuridae
Also listed under: 1 other name
Description: Spermophilus tridecemlineatus (thirteen-lined ground squirrel) tRNA
Rfam family: tRNA
About the family: Transfer RNA (tRNA) molecules are approximately 80 nucleotides in length. Their secondary structure includes four short double-helical elements and three loops (D, anti-codon, and T loops).
Source: Rfam by way of RNAcentral